AAGUUUGGAGGCUUGAAGACGAUCAGAUACCGUCUUAGUCUCAACCAUAAACGAUGACGACCUGGGAUCGGCGGAUGUUGCUCUUAGGACUCCGUUGGCACCUUAUGCGAAAUCAAAGCCUUUGGAU
Non-coding RNA from Amborella trichopoda, 127 nucleotides. The record is from Rfam. Lineage: Eukaryota; Viridiplantae; Streptophyta; Magnoliopsida; Amborellales; Amborellaceae.